GGAGGAUUACUCAAGUGGUCGAAGAGGCUCCCCUGCUAAGGGAGUAGGUCGGGAUAACCGGCGCGAGAGUUCGAAUCUCUUGUCCUCCGCCA
This 92-nucleotide transfer RNA is filed under the name Oscillospiraceae bacterium. Its description in RNAcentral is "tRNA-Ser". It matches the Rfam family "tRNA". From Rfam's summary of the family: Transfer RNA (tRNA) molecules are approximately 80 nucleotides in length. Their secondary structure includes four short double-helical elements and three loops (D, anti-codon, and T loops). Lineage: Bacteria; Bacillati; Bacillota; Clostridia; Eubacteriales; Oscillospiraceae. The record is from RNAcentral.